Molecule: long non-coding RNA, 3841 nt
Filed under: Homo sapiens (human)
Lineage: Eukaryota; Metazoa; Chordata; Mammalia; Primates; Hominidae
Description: HSALNT0045729
Source: RNAcentral
AAGCACUGAAGCUAUUCUUUAAGAAGAUAUGAAAUGUAACUCCUAACCUUCAAAGGCUUUCAGAGUUCGGAGGGCUCAAAUUUUGGACUUGUGGGACUGGAGCUGUGUGUGUGUAGAUUUAGGAUAUAGAAGUUUAGAGCUCAGGACAGAUUUUUGAUCUGAAAAUAUAGACAUUAGAGUUACAGGGAUACAGAGUUAAUGAAAUAACUUGCAUGAAAGAUAUGCCUAGAAAUAGAUUCUAGAUUGAGAAGUGGAAAGAACUGAGGACAGACACUAGAAACACCAACAUUCAAGAGGCAGGAGAGGGAAGAUAAGCCAGUCUGAGACUGAAAAGAAAUAAGCGGAAAGUUUGGAUGGGAACUCAGAGCAGCAGCACAAGGAGUAGAGCAUUCUCAAAAGGAGGACAGUGUCAAAUGACUCAGGAGGGAUGCCAAAGAUAAGGAGUGAACAGUGUCAAUCGAAUUUAGCAAUUAUGUCUCCAGUGGCCUUGGUGAGAGCACUUUUUGUGUCACUGCAUUGAGGAAGCCAAACACUGGUACACUAAUAUUCUUGCUUUGCAUGUUGGUUAUUGUAAAGGAAGCAGAAAAGAAACAGUUGGAUAUUUGAAUUAUUCCUUCUCAGACAGGACAUUACAGCACACCAGAGCAUUGAAAAGAUGAUGUUCAUGUGUCUAGACUUCUGUCUCUCAAUUCUCUGCUCUCUUUUCCCCCAUGUGAACACAAUCAUAGUCUCCUAAUUUUGAUCAAAAUGCAUGGCAGUCAUCGCUCCAUUAUCCUCUUUCUCCUUCACUCAAGUCCCUGAGCCCCUUAUUCCUUUCCAGUUCCACCUCUCCCCUUCAAGUUGCCAGAAAGAGUGGUCCCUGUCCACCACUUCCACUUCUUUACACUCUUUCCUCUCCUGUCAUCUUCAUGCACCCAGGAAUCUGGUCCUGAUAGGAGGGGGAAGUUUAGAGUGCUAGAACAGGAAGGGCCUAGAGUAUGAUCACCAGGCUUCUUAGCCAGAUGCUAUUAAUUUCCCCAAUGAGAAUGACACUAAAAUAUCUCUGAAAUAUUUGCUCCUUUAUGUCCAUGGCUGCAGAUGCAGUUCAUUCGCUCUUUGAUAUAAUGACCUACCUGGUCCCCUCCCCUGAGAUGGCCCUUACAGCCAUCUUACACCUGCUCACAGCUGCAGGCAUUUGGCUGCUUUCUGUAGGCCAUGGCUGUUCUGCCUGUGGCUUAUUGGGAAAAGAGAAUGCUGGUGGAAGCGUUUUGGAUUUGGAUUUGAGUAGCUCUCUCUUUCAGUGAACUAGGCUUCUUUCUUUCUCCCUGCCUUGUACUAGAAUUCUUGAAACAUAAUCCCCUUCUCUGCUUCCUAUUCCUCAGUGCCUGAUUUGUUACCUGGCUACAUCAGACAGGAAUUCCAAUUGGCUGCUUGUAACCAAAGUAGGAAAUAACAGUGGUUUAAAUAAAAGUUUUUCUGUCACAUAAAAAGCAUCCAAAGUAGAUAGUCCCAGACUGUUCAAUGGCUCCUCAGUAGUCAGAGACCAAGAUGGGUUCUUACUGGAACACCAGCCUUAGCACUGGUUUCUAUUUUCUCCCUCCCUUCCUUCCUUCCUUCCUUCCUUCCUCCCUUCCUCCCAUUCUUUCCUUUCUUUCUCUCCCUCCCUCUUUCUUUCUUUCUCUCUUGUCAGGGUCUCGCUCUGUCACCCAGGCUGGAGUGUAGUGCUGCAAUCACAGCUCAUUAUAGCCUCGAAGUCCUGCAAGCAAUCCUCUUGCCUCAGCCUCCUGAGUGGCUAGGACCAGAGGUGCACACCACCAUACCCAACUAAUUAAUUUAACUUUUUGUAACCUGGCCUCAAGUGAUCCUCCUGCCUCAGUCUCCCAAAGCACUGGGAUUACAGGUGUAAGCCACCACUCCUGGCCUUUGUUUUCAUUUUCAAGCUUGCCUCCUGGCCCAAAUUGUCUGUUGAAGCUCCAGCCAUCAGGGUUGUCUUCCAAGGAAAAAACUGGAGAAAGGGGGAAAGCAGGCAAAAGGCAUAAAGCAGUCAUUUGUCCUCUUUUUACAGAACGUUCCAGAGAUUUCCAUCUAGAAACUUACACUUGUAUUUCAUUGGCUAAAAAUUAGUCAUAUGGCCAAACUUUGCUGUGCUAACAGAAUGAAACCAGGGUUCUAAGUAAAAAGGAAACAGUAGAUUUUGGGUGGGGAACUAGCAGCCUCUAACAGAAUUAUUCAGCUUAGAAACUUGCCAUUUUCAUUAUAUCCUCCUUCUUUCCCUGAACCAGUGUCCUGUCUUAUCUCUCUGACUUGAUAUCUCCUGAUAGAUUUCUCUACAUCUGCCUGCCUGCUGACCACUCACCUGGGCCUCCAAACACAGUCUGCUUCAAAUGUUUCUAUUGCUAUGUUUAUCGACAUAAUUGUUCAAUUGCUUGAUUUCUCCUUAUUGACCUUCCAGGCUGUUGACACCAGGCUCAGAUUACUUUGUCUAUUAAUUCCUGGUAAACAGUACUUUCUAGUACUGCCAAAGAUGCUUACAGUUCCCCUGGGGAGGGGGAGAUAAGCAUAUUACACAAGAGGUAAGUGUGGAAAAGGGGCCAGGACAAUUAGUCAUUAGUUCAUCUGGUUGAAACACAUCUACUCCUGGGCAAGAGCUCCUUACCCUGCUUGAACUGCAGCAUCUUCCUCUCUUCUCCUCCCUUGUCUAUUCAGUCAUGAUUUCUAGAAUACGCCCUGUACUUAAGAUUUUCAUUCUCAACUUGAUAACUGGAUUGCAACCUUCAUACAUUUCUCCUCUUGGUAGACUUCUUGCCUCAGAAUCAUUUUCUGACUGUAAGUCUUCAGUCUUCAAAGUCCUCUUGAAAUUAUGUUUUCUUGACUUUCUCCUUCACUUGGUCUAUCAGACACCUAUUUUCAUUAGUAGCAUUUCCAGGCUUUACCCUGAGACUGACGAUAAACAAGUUUGUUUACUUCUAGUGGUUCGUUAGAGCAGGCUUGUAUUGGCUUGGGAGAGCUGUUUGUUAAAAACAAAAUAAUUAUAAAAAUAUAACUUGUUAAAGUGUUGGUAGCUUGAAAUUAGCCAUGGUGGGAGUAUGUACCACAUGGAAAUUGGCAAACACUAUUAAUCAGGGCUUUCUUUUUUCCCGAAAGGGUGUCUACCAGCACGCCAUUGCUUGUUUCACCCCGUCAUUACCCCCUGAAUGCGCGCGCACGCACACACACACACACACACCCACACGACACUUCUCAUCCCAGAUCCUUAUCUCUUCAGCCUACCUUAGCCUCCAGCUUACAGAUAACCCUUCCACACUCAGCUAUAGCCAGUGAUUCAACAUUUCAUAAUGGAAUAUAUAUUUUGAAAAUACAUCCUGGACCCUAAAGACUUUUCCAAGACUGCUGACCACGCUAUUUGAGAACUGCUAAUGUAGUCCAUCUGUCUGCCUUCAGAACACAUGUAAUCAUAUGGAGGAAUCAUUUGCUGGGGAAAAACCUACAUCCUGGUAUUUCAGUAGAAGGAAUUUAUUGAUCAACAUCAGAGAUGACUCAUCACAGAAUAUUAACUUCUGUGAAGUUAAUAUUGGGUGAAAGAUGACCAAUUAAUGAUUACAGGUAUUUCAGAAAGCCUGGUGCAAGCUGUGCAAUAAUCAAGCUGCAUGAGCCAACCAAAACGUCAAGAUGCUUUGCCUUUGACAGGAAUUGUAUCAAUUCACAUCAUGCCAUUACCUCUUAUUGAUCAGGACCUCCGUUCCACGUGUCUUCGAUUAAUAACAAUGAAAAAUGAAUUAAUUAUUACUUAUAAUUACAGUAUUUUAGUAAACAAAAUCAUUCAACUCAUGGAAGAAAAAUAAUAAAAAAGAUUAUGAAAGCC